Molecule: long non-coding RNA, 9520 nt
Organism: Ictidomys tridecemlineatus (thirteen-lined ground squirrel)
Lineage: Eukaryota; Metazoa; Chordata; Mammalia; Rodentia; Sciuridae
Source: RefSeq, a predicted model, not a curated record
GUAAACAUCCCCGACUGGAAGCUGUAGGACACAGCUGAGCUUUCAGUCAGAUGUUUGCUGCUGCCGGCUCUCACAGCCUGCGUGAGUACACUGAGGGGUGGCGCUGGGGAUGCUGGGAAGAUGUGGGCAGCCUCCCUUCACUGGCCUCUCUGACACAGCAUAUAUGUUAAAAGUAGGGUGCCGAUGGAAUAGACAAUAUGAUUGCUGUAUGUAUAUGGGUGACUAUGACCAGUGUAAUUCUACAAUCUGUACAAUCAGAAAAAUGAGAAAUUAUACCCCAAUGAUUCAAAUGUAUGAAUUGCCAAGAUCAUUGUAAUAACAUGUGUAGCUAAUAAAAAUUGAAAAAAAGUAGGGUGCCGAAUUAGGUGCUGCUGGACUUUAAAGAAGUUAGUUUUUAAAAGUUGGGUUUUUUUUUUUUUCCACUCUUGGGUUCUAUCUGUGUUUUUACCCUGUCACAAGUGUUUAUUCUUUUAACCUUUCUGAGUAGGCUGGGGUUAGCUUCCUAGUAGUUCACAGCCUUAUUUUCUUAUCGACAAAUUCUCUAGAAGGUACUUAACCACUACUGCCUAGCUGCAUACAGUCCAGGGAUUUCAGUCUUUUCUGUAGUGUUGAGAUGCACCCAUCCCUUUCCCUUCCUCCUCUUUUCCCUUGCUCUUCUCCUCCUCAGUGAUGCUACACUCUGAAUCAGAACUCCUCUCAGCAGCUGUAAGUCUUCAAGCCGAUACUCCUGUUUGCAGCAUUUGCAAAUGGUCACAAGUGCCUCUGUUUAAAGUGUACUUUGCUAACUAUUACCAGGUAUCACUGGCUUUGGGCUGCCUUGUGGGCAGGUGUGCUCUGAAUAAUCCAGAACUUCUCAUGUAGAUGACAUUCAGCAUGAACUAAUUAAUAAUGUACAAUUUUCAGUUUUCUUAAGUUUUAAAAACUUGUUUUCUCAUUUCUGUUUUUCUUUUAAUUACUAGAAAACAUGUAUUUUAUUGACAUUUUCUCUUCAAUAAGACAUUGGUAUUUUUAUCACUUAUUAAGAAAUUGCCAGGCAUCGAAAUGUGUUAGUUUCAGUACAUAAUUAAGGCAAAAGAUAAAAAUUCUUGUUAAUAUAUUUUAUAUGCCUAUCUUAUUUGAUUAGAUUACAGACUUACCAAGGACAGAUUUAGCUCUGUUUUGGUUUCCUGCUGUAAACAUCAGGUAAAGCACCUUGAUAUAGGGCUCAAAUAAUUGUAUUAUUUUAUUGCAGCAGUAUCUACUAUUUGCCUUCUUAAGCAAAUAAAUGACAGUUUGUCAUGGUGAAGUGAGUCCACAUACAUCUGUGCUACAGCAUUUAUUUCUAGAAAGGUAAUGUGUGUACAAGACUUACAUGGGUGGAAGGAAUUAGUUACUCCAGAUAAGGUAACUUUUUAACUUAUAAAGUACAAUUUUUAGACUUAAUGAUUAGCAUGCAUGAAGCAUUCCUUCCUAUGAACUCUUAAUAAAGCAGAUUUGUUGUAUAUUCUGUGACCCUAUGUUUUAGCACAUUGGAAGCCUUCAGUUCCAAAUAGCAAUUGGAUAGAGCCAUUGCUUGGAACCCAGAAGUGCUCCCUGCCAGAGAUAGAAUAUAAUGUGUAAUCUGUUAAUAGAAUUUUUUGUUUGGCCAGGUGACAUUGUGUUUUUCCCAUAAAAACUUGGUAACCUUAAAAUCCUCUGAGAUGAAUAGAAAUUGCACAAUUUAAUUAUUUGCAUAGCUGAAUUUGAAAUGUUUUUCAAAAUGAUAAGCCAAAUCUAAGCUAAAAGAAGGAUAGGUAUUCUGCAUUAAGCUGUUAUACUCUGCCCAGCUAGUCCAGUCAUCUUUAGAUGCUGCAGGAUUAAUGGCACAAUCUGUUAUGUAACAUUUGCUGUAUAUUAUUCUGCCCUGGUGAAGUCAAAGACCAUGUUAGCUUUAAUUCUGAAUGUCCUUGCUUCAUGUACUUAAGUACAAACCUUUAGUCAUUUGCAGUUGAUUUCUUUUUAUUUUAAUUUUGAAGAACCACAAACUUGCUAUUGGCUUACAAGGUUAACACAUGACUGUUUAGAACAAAUGCCUUAAAAUAUUAGAUUAUCAGUAUUAAUAGUAAAUUAAUAACAACUUGUUUCCUUAUCCUUUAACUUAGAUACUUAGAGAAAAGUGUGUGGUCUUAAUUGACAAGAUUUAGAAAACUCAGAAAUUCUUUACUAUUUAAGAUUGGCCUGGGGCUUAAGAUUGGUGGGUCCAGUUAAUAUUUUUUUUAAAAAAGUACUCAACACCAUUCUGCAGAUAACAUGUUUCCUUAGUAUAUGCUUUGACAUUACUUAGAGGUUCUUUCUUUAAGUAAACAACCACAAAAUUAUGUUUUCGAGUCAGCUUUAUACAGGAUAUUCUUGGUUAGAAAAUGGUCAUAGAAAUACAUGAUUGGUUAGAAAAAUUGAGGCUUGGAGGGAAAAAAAGAAAUACAUGAUUGGUUAAGUCCUCAUUGGUGUUAGUGCCUGAGUCACUUCUCUAUAGAGGCAGAGGGUUGAAGGGCCUAGCACAAGCAAAGCCCCAGGUUCUGUCCCUAGCAGUGUUGGGGUGACCCAGAAGUGGACCAUGAACCUUUAAACCCCCUUAUGCCCAUUGCAUGUAACAUGUCCUAGCUGAUUCCUUCCCACUCCUAUGAUUAGACAACAUUUUUCAUUUGAUGAAUGUGCCAUUAUUUGCUGUGUAUCUCAGGAAAGUUUUGUUCUUCAUUUGAAUCGGUCUAAGCUUAAUUACUUACUAAAAUUAUACUAUUUUAGAUAGUCUCUGCCAUAGUUUCCCCAACCUGAUUAAUUGGGGGCAGACAUUUGGUCUAUAUUUGUCCUUGCUUCUGUAGCAUAUUACACACUUCCAUAUUACACCUCUGUUUUUGCUUUAGCUUUGCAUUAUAUUUGAACAAACCAUCCACUGGUUUUCAGAAACUAGUGUGCAUCAAAAUUACUUGGAGUGCUUAAUUAAAACACAUAUUGCUGGGUCCUGCAAGAAGAGCUGCUCAUUCAGUACUGUGGGGCUUGGAAACGUGUUUUCCUAAGUUCCCAACUGCUGCUGCUGCUCUCAAAACCCUGGAACUCAUCUUACUUUCCCUCUUAGGUACUGUGCCCAAUUAGAGUCUAAAGUAUGACACAGAAAGUCCCACCCCACCCCAAGAAAAGUAGUCCAAAAGUUUGAUUGUAAAAAGGUACAUUGGAAAUUUGAAGCCCUUUUACCCCUCCCCCCUCAAAAAAAUAUAGCUUUUGUUAACAGCUCUGAUGUAAACAAAUGCCAAACUGGGAGUAUUAUGUCCCUUUCCAACUAUUCGCUCUUCUAAACGAACAGCUGGCUUCUGUGGUUAAGUCCCUGACAAUUGCUAGCAGGGCACUUUCUGUCCUUUAGCAUUUUCACAGUAGAACUAAUAAAGUAAAACAACAACAAAAAAAAGUCUAUUAAUUGUUUAGCCCACAAAAACCUAAUCGAGCUUGAUGUGGCGGUGCACACUUACAAUCCCAUCUACUCAGGAGGCUGAGGCAAGAAGAUUGAAAGUUGGAGGCCAGAUUCAACAAUUUUAGCAAAACCCUGACUCAAAAUUUUAAGAAAGUUCUGCAUACAUAGCUCAGAGAGGCAUAAUGCACCAAGGUUCAUCCCUAGUACCAGCAGACUUUCAAAUAAAUAAAUUUUUCAAAACGGCUGGAGCUAUAGCACAGUAGUGGAGUGCUUGCUUGCCUAGCACAACUGAGGCCCUGGGUUCAAUCUACAGUUCAGAAAAAGAAAAAACUAAGAAGAGUAAAAAUCUAAUUGAACAUGUUUGCAAAUAUAAGCAAAAGAAAAAAUGUGCUUGCAGCAGUAUUAAUUAAAACAGAAAAACAAUAUGUUUAUGGAUAUGUGAAGAUGUGCAUUUAAUCUUGAAAACCCAUACUUUAAGAAACAGCCGUAAGGAGCCAGGGUCCAGGACCUGGGGUGUCUUUGAUAUGCCAAAGAUGUUUAAAGUUGGCUGGCAAUGUUUAUUAUAUUUAAUAUUGCUUCCAAAUUUGAGAAUUUCCUCUUCUUUGAUAUGUGAUAGGGCCACUUUUAAUGCUUAGCAGAAGUACUUGCAGUUAAUCAGAGGAAGGAAGAUGGAGAAAGACUUUGAGGCACCUUAAUAACACUUGGUACAGAAGAUGGGAAGAGGUGAAGAGAACGUGAGUUAUGAAUGGGGAGAGAAGUGACUGAGCUCCUCACGGGUAUUUCAUUAACUUUGUCGUUGACCCAGAUCAGAAAUCUUAAAGACAAAUGGUGGUCAGUGCUUUAUAUUGCCCAUCAAAUGGGUUCCUGUAAAAACAGGUCCAGUUGUUUGAAAGGGAAUGAUGGAGAAAGAUGGCAGGCUGAGAAAUCAGUAGCAUUAGAUUUAGAGCACCAACAGGCGCUAUAAAUUCCUUCAGUGAAAAUAGUAUAUCUCUCUGCCUUUUCCUUGGAUUCUACAUUUUGAGUUGACUUUGCCUCAUUUGUACGGAUUGCUGUGCCUAUUUUUUCAACAGAUUCUACAAAGUUAUAUUUUUAGAAAAUAAAUUUGUCAUGUACCUUAAUGUAAAUUUGAGUCUCCAGUAAAGAACCAUUAUAAACAUAGUUAAGAGUUCCAUAAAUCCUGCUGUAAACCAAGUUGCAGUUUAUGUAAACAUCCUACACUCAGCUGUAAUAUAUGGAUUGGCUGGGAGGUGGAUGUUUACUUCAGCUGACUUGGAAUAUCAACCAAUUAACAUUGAUAAAGGGUGUGAUGAGAACCUAUACAGAAGCUUGAUUUUUAUUUAAGCUUGAUUUUUCUAAGUUACUGUUGUGUCUUAUCCAUUUUAUUACUAAAUCUCUGACAUGACAUAAGGCUCUGGUAUCAGGACAAAAUAGUGUCCUCCUUUGGGAGUUGUGGUUAACAUAGGCAUUGUAGUUUAAUAAGCAUAGGUUUUGACAUCAGAUUUAGUCUCUGUUUGGACUCUACUAGUGAGUUGGCUACAAGAAGCAGUUUUGAACCUCGAUUUUCUCAUCUACAAAAUAGGUAUGGCAGUGUUUCAUUAAUACAGUACUUGUCAUAUUAAGAAUUCAAUAAAUAAUUAUUAUUACUGCAGUUGUGUUUAGGUAUUCAAUAAAUGGUACUAUAAUGUUUAAGUAUACUUUGUUUUAAGGUAAAGAUGUUGCCAACUUUUUGAUUAAAUAUACAUGGUUUGAAUAUUUGAAAUCACAGUAAUUUACUGGUAAAGAGUUUCGAAGACCAACUUCUGGAGCUGUGUUACUUUUGGUAAGUUAUUUUCCUGUGCCUCAGUUUCCUCAAUCUGCUAAAUUAUAGUUAUGACAGUACCUGAUAGUAUUAUUGGGACUAAGUAAGUUAAUACCAUUAAUGUGGGCAGUAUGAUUCCUUGUACACACUCAGCUUUUGACAAAUGGUACCCAUUGUUGUUAUUUUAAAAGCAUAUUUAUCACCCAUUACUUUUUCCAGAGUGGGUUGUGCCAUAUAUUUCUAAACAAUUUUUAAAGAUAAGCUAAUACCCCAUAAUUAGUUAUAGAUAUGUAUUGUUUGAGCAAAAUGAUACUUCCACAUUUGUGCCUUUAUUAGAAAUACUCAGAAUUAAUUUCAUAUAGUUUUGUUUUCCAAUUCCAUGAAAUGAACCUUUUCCAAUUCUGGUGACAUAUCCACAUUCUUUGUAGGUAGAAAGCAAAACAACAGCUGCAAAACCAGAAUCAUGUUAAGAGCUUACAUUACUCCAGCAGCCUGACAGGUAUCUUAAGUUCUUGCCAGUGCCUACCUCCAGAAUUAGAAUUCGCAUUUUGUGCUGCUUCUAUGGAGGAUGUCUACUUACUAUAAGAAAAAUAAUUAAAUAAAAAUGUGAAAUGAAGGCAUGGGACUUGUUUCUGAAGUACCCAUCACAAGUGACUCAAGUGAUGCAUAUUAAAAGCAAAAAAAAAGUGCUUUUUUCCUAUUCUCACACAACACUCAACUUGCUUCUAUCCCCAAAUGUAUGUGAAGAUUUCUCCCCACCAGCAAUCAAGGAGGUUUUUUUUGCACAUUUUCUGUUGGACAUCAGCUAGGUAUCCUUUAAUUAUGAUACUGCAUACCUGGACAUAAUGCCAGAUCUCACAGGUUGGAGGAUAAGUCCUACAAACUGUCUCCCCACUUCACAUGCCACCUAGCAAGCAUAGUUUGUGGCCUGUGCCUCUGAAGUACUGGCUAUAAACCUGGGUUCCCACUAUCCCUUCUCAGAUGUGAUUAAUUUGCUAGAAUGGCUCAAGAAAUGAGGAAAAGGCUUUAUUCAUAUUUACCAAUUUAUUAUAAAGGAUAUUACAAAUCCACAUGGAAGAGAUGCACAGGGCAAAACAAUGGAAAGUACAAGUGGAGUGAAAUCCUGCUUACUCUGGAUUUGCACCCUCCAGAAACUGCAUGAUCAGCUAUGUAGAAGUGCAUCUGAACCCUUUCUCAUGAAGGCUUCAUUACGUAGGGCAGUCCUGGAAAUUGGUGAGUGGGGCACAGAGUUUUGACUUUAUUCUGAAGCUGUGACCCUAGCCACCAGUCAUCUCAUUGGCUACUGCAGACAUUCAUCACUCUCCAGAGAUUCCAAAGUUCUAGAAGCUCUGUGUCUGCAAACAGGAAUGAAGACCAAAUAUAAUUUCACAGUUAUCACAAACAUGUCCUUGAGAAUUAGACUGCCAAUCUAAUCUGUGCUCCAUCACUUAACAUUGGUGUGACCUUGAGUAAAUUGCUGAACUUCUUUGGAUAACUUCUUUGUAAAAUAAACAACCAACAUCAGGUUGUAGGGUUGAGAGAGAGAGAGAGAGUUGUAGGGUUGUGAAGGACCCAGCACAGUUAAGGUGUUUAGUGGAUACUAUUUCUUUUGCUUUUAGGCUCAAAUGAGCUCCCUCAGUGUCCAUUCCCAACCAUGAUGUUUAUCUUAAAUCAGUAUUAAAGUCAUCCACCUUGAACCUUUAGGGUACAUUAUAAGAUUGAUAGUUUUUAUUAUGACCCCAAGUCAAACCGUUUUCCCACAAAUAAUCAAGCCUUUAGCCUCAUAUUGAAUAAAAUUGUAUGAAAUGUCUAAUUUUUAUUAUGGUUUGCAUAUGAGCUGUGUCCCCCCACUCCAUGUUAAUGCAGGAAUAGUCAGAAUAAAAAUGAUUACAUUAUGAAAGAUGUAACCUAUGUAACAACCUAUGGCUGUUUCAGUCCGUCUUGUUUGAAUGGAGUAAUUGGACAUGUGGGUAUGGCAGGAGGUGGGUCACUGGGGCUGCCCUGGAAGGGUGUAUCUUCCCUGUAGCCCCUCUACCCACUGCUUCCUGGCUGCCAUGAGCAAAGCAGCAACCCUUCACUGCACCCUGCCUUAUGUCAUGUGCUUCGGAACAGUGGAAUAGCCCUCUGUGAACUGAGUCCUUGGAAACUAUAAGCCCCAAAUAAGUUGUUUUUGUCAGGUAUUUUAGUCACAGUGAUGCAAAGCUGAAUAACAGUCUUGUAUAGUUUUAAAAAAAAAAAUAGUCAUAGUCAGCUCAGACAAGAAGGUAGAAGACUUCCUAGGACUGACAUACCAAAAGAUUGUAUCAGAGUGCCUAUUAGAAACCUCAGUGUGGGCCAGGCCGUAUUGGAUGUUGGAAUCGUCAGGACAGUAGAUUACAAAGUCUGAAGGGUGAGAGAUGAUGCUCUGAGUAGACUAGAACAGAAUACAUUAGAAAGUCUUUUUCCAAAAUUGUGUUGGAUAUCCUAGGAUUUGAUUCAUGCCUUGUGUUUAUCUCUGCAUGUAAUAGGUUGAGUAUGGAAGAAGCAAUAUGCAUAAAAAUUGGCAAACUUGUUUGCUCAUUUUCCAACGUUUCCAGAUCAUUGCUUAUAAAACACUGGUAUUUACAGUAAAUAUAUUGUUUUAAAUAUUUGCUAACCCUACUAAAUUGUGUUUCUGUAUGCAAUAGUCACUUAAUGACUUCAUCCUCCAGUAAGUUGGUAUGUUAUUUGAAAUUGCUUUUAGAGCUUAGGGGUUGUUUCAGAGAGUUAAAGGCAAAAGCGAGAAGAGAAUAGCAUUUUCAGGACAAAGUGAUCCAGCAGACCCUUAAUAAAAUAUGAGAUAUGUCUGUCUUUACUACACAACCGUUGACUAAAGCACUCUGACCUCAUGUCCUUGUAUGUAAAUGAAAAAUGUAUAGUCUUGUAAUUUCCUUUUUCUAGGUAAAUCCAUCCAAUUAUUUAUUUUAUGUUUAUUUGUAUGUGUCCGUAUUUGCAUGAGCACACUAUUAAGCAGAAGAAGUUCUGGGUUUUAGCUGCCUGGGCUCAUUUGAAGGCCCAUUAGAUCAUUCAGAUAAGUCACUUAGCACACUACGUGGCACAUAAGAAGCACUCAAGAAAUAUCCCACUCACUUUAAAUCUCCAGUCUUAAUAGUACCUUGAUGUUGGCCCUCCUAAGUUAAGUUGAUCUUCUCUUUGUGACACAAAUGUGUCUAGUAUUUACUAAUGAUAAAUUGCUCUCACUAGUGCUAAAUUUAUUACUAAUUUAUCUGCAUGUCUACUUCCCUUCUCAGAUUAUGAGCCCCUUGAGAACAAAAAUGGGUUUCUUUUUCAUAAGUUCAUUGUCUAGCAUGGUGAAAUUUUACUAUUUUAAAAUGUGUUUGUUUUCCCUUCUCAGGGGAAGAUAAUCCUUGAGCCAAAGAGACAAAUAGGAAUGUUACCAAAAAAUCUGGCCAUGUUCUCAAAUCACUUUUCCCCUACUUGCCUCUUCACAUUUUUUUUUAUAUAAGAAAAGAAAGUAAUAAAAUGACUGCCAAAUUAAGACAAACUGUCUACUAAACAUGAGUUAAAAUGCUAUGAUCAGAAACUGAAUAAAGGCAACAUAAUGACACUAUUAAAAAGUGGUGUUCUUGAAAUUAAAAGCCCCAGUUCACAUUAUAGGCCUGCUACUUUUUAGCUAUAUGACAACAAGAAAGCUCUGUUUUCUCUUUGACUAUAAAGUAGGGUUUUUCACUAUUUGACAGUUAGUGGUUAAUAUGAGAUAAUAUUCUUACAACGCUAGCACUGUGCCUGGUAAAUAGAGACUCUCAAAUAUUUUCUGAAUAGAGUUAGCUUAUAUUAUACUCUAUACAUUUUUCUCAAAUUUAUAGAGUAUUAUACUCUAUAAAUUUGAGAAAAAUCUAGUUUAUUUCACCAGGUACCAUAAAUUUACUGCUUGAAGUAUUGUUCACAUUAGUUGAUACUCUGGCUUUAUCUUGAAAAACAAAACUUAAAAAGUGACCAAGUCAUUUUACUUCCAUCAUGUUAAUAUUGUGGGGGAGAGUAAUGAAGAUCAAAUGGCAAAAACAUACUGACGAUUCAGUUGUGUGAUUAUUUUCUGAACACACGAAGGUAGACCUUUACUUCAUACUACUCUCCUAAAGUGAAAGCAGUGAGAACUCAAGUCAUGCAUGGGAAACUUGACCACCAUUGAACUAUCACUGCCAUUAUGUGAGAGUUUUGUCCAAAUCAUUUCCCAGUAAUCAUGAUGGAAAGCAACUCUUAAAAUCCCCUCCUCAUUUCUUCUCUCCUUAUUACUGCUAAAUAAACAUUUUCUUUCAACCUUG